This 466-nucleotide ribosomal RNA is filed under the name uncultured bacterium. RNAcentral's name for it is "partial 16S ribosomal RNA". It matches the Rfam family "Bacterial small subunit ribosomal RNA", at positions 28 to 507 of the family's 1533-position model. The record is from RNAcentral.
GAUGAACGCUGGCGGCGUGCUUAACACAUGCAAGUCGAACGAUGAAGCCCAGCUUGCUGGGUGGAUUAGUGGUGAACGGGUGAGUAACACGUGAGUAACCUGCCCUUUACUCUGGGAUAAGCCUGGGAAACUGGGUCUAAUACUGGAUAUGACUUCUCAUCGCAUGGUGGGGGGUGGAAAGAUUUAUUGGUCUUGGAUGGACUCGCGGCCUAUCAGCUUGUUGGUGAGGUAAUGGCUCACCAAGGCGACGACGGGUAGCCGGCCUGAGAGGGUGACCGGCCACACUGGGACUGAGACACGGCCCAGACUCCUACGGGAGGCAGCAGUGGGGAAUAUUGCACAAUGGGCGCAAGCCUGAUGCAGCGACGCCGCGUGAGGGAUGACGGCCUUCGGGUUGUAAACCUCUUUCAGUAGGGAAGAAGCGAGAGUGACGGUACCUGCAGAAGAAGCGCCGGCUAACUACGUG